Molecule: long non-coding RNA, 1151 nt
Organism: Clarias gariepinus (North African catfish)
Lineage: Eukaryota; Metazoa; Chordata; Actinopteri; Siluriformes; Clariidae
Exons: 5
Source: RefSeq, a predicted model, not a curated record
AUUACAGAGGGUUUUUUAUAAUUAUUUCUAAAGUAUUUCUAAAAAUAACAUUAUAAAAACAUGUGGGUAACGGAUCAAUUAAAACAGAGACCAUCGUAGCUGGGUGCCACGGACGGAUGCCGAAAGUGUGUUUAGGCUACACACAGAAAACAAAAAUCUGGCGCGACACGGAGCUGCGGAACUUCCAUACUGCAUUACAUUUUCCAUCGUGUUGCUAACAGAAGACACAAGACAAUCAAUCAUGACAUCUGAAGCCAGCUGCUCCCAGAUUCAAGAGGAUAAUUUUCAGUCUGAUACAUAGACGGAUGAAGAUGUCUGCCACUCCUGCUGACCUUGAGAAGACUGGUAACCUACCUGUGACUCCUCGAUUGAUCCUGCUUGGUCCAAGUGAUACUCAAGGGCAGUGGAUGAAACAAUGGAUGAUCAGCUUGGAGGGCAGAAUAAUCUGUGAGGGUGUGCAACCAACCUUUCUGUCUGGACUUGCUGCUUUGUUUUCACUGUAUUACAUCUUUAACCUGCAAUAUCAAGAGGAAGCAGCAUCCACAUUGGAAUUCCUUCAAAGACGAUUUGUUGGAAUAAAUCCGGAAAAAGGGACCAAGGCUGCAAAAGGAAAAGUGACAUCUAAAAAGACUGGGAAAACUGUUCAAAAGAAGACCAUGACAGUCAAUCUGAAAGUGUCAAAUCUUUUAAAAAGAUUGAUGGACUUUGAGUGGCACUUUAUUUAAAAUGUUUUUUGUUUUACAGUAGUUUGUAUAUACUGUUAUUUUUUUUUUUUUUGUAUUCUACUUUUUAUAUCCAGAAAGGGCUUGUGUUUGAUAAAGCCUUGUGUUGAUUUAUUUAUUUUCAUUAUUUUUUUUCGGAAGCUUGAUUUGAAGCUUGUUUAUUAUUUAAUGUCAAGUUGAGGCAUUUUGAAAUUGUGUUUGUUUUCUUAAGCCAUCUUUGUAUUUCUCAAUGUUAUGGGUGCUUAUUUGUUGCACCAUAGUUUAUGCACUCAAAAAUAUGAUGGCUUGCAUUUUUCACAUUUCUUUUUGGCACAACAAACAGCUUAACAAUUAAUAUAAUGUUAAAUGGAAAUAAAGAAGGACUAAAACAGUAAGUUGGCAUUAUUUAUUUUGUUUUCCACAAAUAUAAAAUGCAGGGUAUAAUAGCAU